GCCUUCGUGGUGUAGUGGUCAGCACGCUCGACGCGUAACCGCGAGGUCCGUGGUUCGAUUCCCGGCAAAGGCG
Molecule: transfer RNA, 73 nt
Filed under: Stegodyphus mimosarum
Lineage: Eukaryota; Metazoa; Arthropoda; Arachnida; Araneae; Eresidae
Rfam family: tRNA
About the family: Transfer RNA (tRNA) molecules are approximately 80 nucleotides in length.
Source: Rfam by way of RNAcentral